Molecule: ribosomal RNA, 300 nt
Filed under: uncultured Pyrodictium sp.
Lineage: Archaea; Thermoproteati; Thermoproteota; Thermoprotei; Desulfurococcales; Pyrodictiaceae
Description: partial 16S ribosomal RNA
Rfam family: Bacterial small subunit ribosomal RNA
Source: RNAcentral
GAUAAGUAGAGGUGAAGGGGCGGGGGAAGACGUCAGGUUCAAGCGUUACUCGGGAGUACUGGGCGUAAAGCGUGUGUAGGCGGGUCGGAAAGAAAGAUGUGAAAUCCCAGGGCGCAACCUCGGAACAGCAUUUUGAACUGCCGAGCUAGAGGUUGUCAGAGGGGGGUAGAAUUCCACGUGUAGCAGUGAAAUGCGUAGAUAUGUGGAGGAAUACCGAUGGCGAAGGCAGCCCCCUGGGAUAAUACUGACGCUCAGACACGAAAGCGUGGGGAGCAAACAGGAUUAGAUACCCCUGUAGUC